UUGAGUCUGAUCGGUAAUAUGGUGAUCUAUCUUAAUCACCUACCCAACAUUUGGAGUGCUACAAUCAAUCUGAGAAUUCCCACAUAGGUGGGUAGAUCGGUGCUGAACACUAAGGGACCUGCUGGAAUGUUUGCUAUCCUAGUACUCAUCGGCUAAUGUAUAACACAUACAGCAUGCAUCUCUCGAGAACAUCAUCUCAACAUCACACACGACAUGUCUGCACCUGACAUUGGAUAAAGGUUUUGGUUUUGCUAACAAAUGCGGCCUCUAUCACUGGUGUUAACCCAAGGUAUAGACCAAGGUCAGAGGUCAUGCCCCUGCUGAGAAGAUAUAGACCAAGGUCACAGAGGUCAUGACCCUGAUACAAGAUAUUGACCAAGGUCAGAGGUCAUGACCCUGUUCAGAGUUCUUUGCCACGGCCACAGAAGUGACAACAUGGUGAGUGUUACUGACCAAUGUCACGGAAGUGACAAUGACUUUCUACAUUAAUACGAAAGAAUUGUGUGGUCCUUCAGUUCUUUUUAGUAGUAUACUUCCAAACAGGAAAGAACAAAUUUCUGCUAAGCCACCAGCCAGAUUACCCUGACCAAGGAAUGACUGCUUGUGUAAUCCAUGUCUACACAGAAUAAUGGUUAUGUUAAACAUUGAAAAA
This is a long non-coding RNA of Haliotis rubra (blacklip abalone), 652 nucleotides long. RefSeq lists it as uncharacterized. The record is from RefSeq and is a predicted model, not a curated record. The transcript is spliced from 2 exons. Lineage: Eukaryota; Metazoa; Mollusca; Gastropoda; Lepetellida; Haliotidae.